GAACUUUCACCUGCUUUGCAAAACUUAAAGGGUCAUCUCGUGGCUUACAGCUCGAAAAGAGUCGAGCACAGGAUCUAGCUUGAAGCACCAGGAAAAGAAAUCAGUUUGAAGAGAGUCCCUAUAUGAACAUGUAUUCUACAAAAUUGAAGCAAUAAAAAAUAUUAAAUUUAUGGUGAAGGCCAGGUGGAAAAAUGGUGGACUCAUUGGUGCUUUAUAAAAGUUUAUAAGGACAAUGCCCCAAAAGAAAUCAGCAGUUUACAAAUGGAUAAUCCAUUUUAAGAAGAAACAUGACAAUGUUGAAGAUGAAUCCCACAGCAUCAGACCCUCCACAUCAAUUUGUGAGGAAAAAAAGUAAUCUUGUUCAUGCCCUAAUUCAAAAGGUUCAAUGAUUAACAGCAGAAACAAUAGCCAGCACCACAGAUAUCUCAACUGAUUUGGCCUACACAAUCCUGACUGAAAAAUUUAAGUUGAGCUAACUUUCCACUCAAUGGGUGCCAAAACCAUUGUGCCCAGGUCAGCUACUGACAAGAACAGAGCUUUCAAAAUUUCACAAAUUUUAAACAAGUGAGAUCAAGAUCCUGAAGCUUUUUUUUUUUUUUUUUUUUUUUUUGAAGAAUUGUAACCAGAAAUGAAACUUGGCUUUACCAGUACAAUCCUGAAGACAAAGCACAAUCAAAGCAAUGGCUACCAAGAGACGGAAGUGGUCCGGUCAACGCAAAGUGAACCAGUCAAGAGCAAAAAUCAUGGCAACCAUUUUUUGGGUUGUUCAAGGCAUUUUGCUUAUUGACUUUCUGGAGGGCUAAAGAAUAAUAGCAUGUGCUUAUGAUGAGAGUGUUUUGAGAAGGUUAGCCAAAGCUUUAGUGGAAAAAUGCCCAGGAAACCUUCACCAGAGAGACCUUUCCACCAUGAUAAAGUUCCUGCUCAUUUCUCUCAUCGAACAAGGGCAAUUUUGCAAGAGUUUCAGUGGAAAAUCACUAGACAUCACCUUACAGUCCCAAUUUGGCUCUUUCUGAAGACUUUUUGUUUCCUAAUCUUAAAAAAUCUUUAAAGGGCACCCAUUUUUCUUCAGUUAAUAACGUAAAAAAGACUGCAUUAACGUGCUUAAAAUCCCCAGACCCUCAGUUCUUUAGGGAUGUACUAAAUAAAUGACUAAUAUCAUUGGUUA
Non-coding RNA from Macaca mulatta (Rhesus monkey), 1165 nucleotides. NCBI's taxonomy places the organism in Eukaryota, Metazoa, Chordata, Mammalia, Primates, Cercopithecidae. The record is from RefSeq and is a predicted model, not a curated record.